Molecule: ribosomal RNA, 478 nt
Filed under: uncultured bacterium
Lineage: Bacteria
Description: partial 16S ribosomal RNA
Rfam family: Bacterial small subunit ribosomal RNA
Source: RNAcentral
GAUGAACGCUGGCGGCGUGCCUAACACAUGCAAGUCGAACGGAGUCCAGCCUUUAAGACCUUCGGGUCAAAGGGGGGAAGACUGAGUGGCGGACGGGUGAGUAACACGUGGGCAACCUGGCUCAUAGAGGGGGAUAACAGAGAGAAAUUUCUGCUAAUACCGCAUAAGCACACACUGCCGCAUGGCAGAGGGUGAAAAGAGAAUCGCUAUGAGAUGGACCCGCGUCUGAUUAGCCAGUUGGCAGGGUAAGAGGCUACCAAAGCGACGAUCAGUAGCCGAUCUGAGAGGAUGAACGGCCACAUUGGGACUGAGACACGGCCCAAACUCCUACGGGAGGCAGCAGUGGGGGAUAUUGCACAAUGGGGGGAACCCUGAUGCAGCGACGCCGCGUGAGUGAAGAAGUAUUUCGGUAUGUAAAGCUCUAUCAGCAGGGAAGAUAAUGACAGUACCUGAAGAAGAAGCCCCGGCUAACUACGUG